RNAcentral lists this long non-coding RNA (1259 nucleotides) under Chinchilla lanigera (long-tailed chinchilla). RNAcentral describes it as "lncRNA (ENSCLAG00000024841.1)". Lineage: Eukaryota; Metazoa; Chordata; Mammalia; Rodentia; Chinchillidae. The record is from RNAcentral.
AACAAUGUGGUUCUUGACUGCAGGUGAAAGGAGUGUGGGCCUGGAGUUCCCACAGUACCAGGCUGUGGGCCAGGCUGGCAGGAGACAAAGGCAGCCAGCCGGGACUCCCCUGGGAGCUGCAGUUCAGUGUUGAGAGAAGCCUUCUGCGCGGUAACCACUGUGUACUGUCUGGGGAGGGAGGACAAGAAGGACGUCAUUGAUCCACUACAGUCUGAUGAAUGCCACGAGAUGAGACUACCCAAUGGCUAUUGGAGCACAGAGACGGACGUAGCUGGCCCUGCCAAAGAGAGAGGGGAGGUUUGAUUAGGCUUCAACAAAGAGGACAUUCACAUUGGGUCCUGAAGAAUGAGUAGGAGUUUUCCAGAGAUGAGAGGAUAUUCUGGGAAGCACUAAUUGCAAAGAGCAUUCUUGCAGGAAAUUACCACAUUUUAACUGUUAGAUAUACAUUGCUAUUUCAUACACCACAGUGUGGGAUAAACAGAGGUAACUUGUAAGUACCUCCACGUCUGGGAAGGUAAACAAAUCUAGCUGGCUCAGCAGGAACUGAGGUUAACAAUAAAUGUUCCACUCUAAGGGGAGUACCUGAUUCUGACUUUGAAGGAGUAUAUGCUUCAUGUUAAUCGAUCUUCUUAUUUUAAAAUAUGAAAUAUAAUUUACAUUUAGUAAAAAUUACUCUUUUUAGUGUAUAGUUUGACAAGAUUCAACAAAAAUAUAUAGUUUUAUAGUUACUAUGACAAUGAAAAUAUCAAAUAGUUCUGUUACCCUCUAAAUUUCUCCACGCCCUCCAGAAUCACCAUUUCCCUCCUUCCCAGCCACUGGGAACUACUGAUUUGUUUUCUGUCUGUAUAGUUUUCUGUCUGUAUAGUUUGGUUUUUGCAAGAAGGUCAAGUAAAUGCAAUGUAGUCUUUUGACUAAAUCUGGCUGUUUUUACUUUGCAUAAUGCAUGGAAGUUAUAUCCACCUGUAUCAGUCAUUCAUUUCUUUUUACUUCUGAGCCUUAUUCUGUUAAGUGGAUGUGUAACAGUCUGUUUAUCCAUUCCCCAGGUGAAGGACAUUAGGGCUGCUUUCUAGUUUUUAGUGAUUACAAAUACAACCACUAUAAAAAAUUGUGUGCAUGUUUUUGUUUGAAUAUGGGUUUUCAUUUUACUUUGGGAAAUACAGGUAGAGGAAUAUCUGGGUCCUGUAAGUGUAUGCUUGACUUUAUAAGGAACUGCCAAAUUGUUUUCCAAAGAGUUUGUCUGUACUGUGCUACAUUUCCAC